Long non-coding RNA from Papaver somniferum (opium poppy), 2595 nucleotides. RefSeq lists it as uncharacterized. The transcript is spliced from 8 exons. The record is from RefSeq and is a predicted model, not a curated record. NCBI's taxonomy places the organism in Eukaryota, Viridiplantae, Streptophyta, Magnoliopsida, Ranunculales, Papaveraceae.
AUAACGUUCUCCACCGGCGCCUCUUUACUUCCCUUCUUUCCCACUCCCUCAUCUUCCGUAACGCUUCAAGUAAACCAAGAAGAACCCUCCACAGCAACCAUCAAGAUGAGAAAUCCUUGCUUACAUACUUCAAUCGAUCGUUCCAGAAACAAGAACAGAACCCCCAGAUUUUUCUUCUUUCCCAAGAACACGUACGAGGUUCUUUUUCUUUUUGAAAAAAAUAAUUUCAGCUUAGAAAAGCUAUAAAUCUCUUGGUGAAAGAAAUUCUUAUUCAGUAUUGAGGAGAUAUUGUACUGAACUUCAGUAGCUGAAGCUUAGGGACUUUAGUUGGUCAAUUGGCUGUUUUAAUUCAAAGGUCAGAAAACAGUUUCAUGGACACGAGAACCCUGUCAUUCUCGCUUCACAAACACCACUUCAGUGUAAGCGAAGCUGCUUUGAGUUGCUCAAGAGUAUUAGUAGUUUUUUUUUUUGGUGAUUGAUGAUCGGUUGAUAAGUGAUUUGGGUACUCCACAUACAAUAACUUUCAACACCAAAAUCAUCAUACCACUUCGAAGAGUUCUAUACAGAAACUCACUCCAUGGCAUCCCAAAUCACUUGGAUCCCUCAAGCUCAAAAAUCAAAUCAAUCACAAUACGUUUCACAGGUGAUGCAUGUUGUUGGCGGGGUUUCUUAUCGAUGGGUCCAUACAUAGACACACUCUACGUCAGCCUUCCAAAGUUACCUUUUCGAAUCAUUUAAGAAGAGCAGGCAAUUUAACUCUUUCUGCCACAAAUGCCACUUGAGUUUACACAAACAUCGGCAUCCCCACCGCCACUGAAAUGAGAGAAAGGUUAGCAUUGAAUUCUGAAAGGUAGAUUGUUGUUGAAACCCAUCUCAUGAAUCAAUGGUGAUAUUAAUUAGUGUGCACGAUAACUGUUUUCGAUGUAUUAUUGAUCUCGCUUCAACUAUUCAUAGUCUUUAUCAGUUGAAUUGCGGUCAAAAACCUAGACUUAAUGUUCUUUCCAUGCUGCAACUACAACACUAACUUUAUUCCUCUGAAGAUGUGACGGUACAUAUGUUAAAGUUUUCAUGUAUCACCCACAAUAGGAAAUUUGGUAUUGGUAGAAUGAUACCUUUUUCAUGUAUCACUUCAAUUAUUCGUAGUUUUUAAAUCUGUUUUCAGUCCCAGGAUUAGGUUGCUGAAAAAGAAUCCAGCUCCUGUAGAAUACUGACAAUUUGUGAUAAACUUAUAAUGGGGUUUAUAAAAGAGGUAGCAGGCCUCUCUUAUUCAAUUGAAAUAACACGCAGCAGGUAAAAACCAUGUAUCAUUUGUAUUGAAGGUGCAUAGUGCUCCUCUUUGUGUUUGGUCAAUUGACUGUUGCAGCCAAAUUGGCUAUCUUUCAAGUUAAUUUUGGUCGGGCUUUUUAUAUAUAAUUUUAUUUGUCGGUGUAAGGCCUCUCUUUUUAUGUCUUAGAACAAAAAUGCCCUUGCAAUAAUUUUGCAUUCUCGGGAAUGAUAUCUUGCUAACUGAAACGUAUUGAAUCAAAACAUCUCAUUGAUUAUAGUAUGAGUUGACUUUGUGAUAGUCUGGCGUUGCGCUUGAUUAGUUAGCUUUGUAUUGUAAAUUAUUACUGCGAGCAAUUGGUGUGCUUUUCCUUUAUUUAAAAUCUCUUCCUUUUCAGUUAUUAUUAUUCAUUAAUAGUAAACAUUGGGUAAUCAUGUUAUAAUACUAAUUUACCCAAAUUUUUUAGCUUUGGAUGGCAGUGGAACCUCCCGUAAAAUACUCCGCAGAAGUCCUGGACUAAUUGUACGAGCUGGAUGACAAUAAAAAAUAUAUAUCUAUGAUGUAUCCAAUCGGUAUCGGUAAGAUAUUUUUUUCCAAAAAUAAAUUUUGUUUCGUUGGCAGUCUACGGGUUGUUGUUCAUGUUCAUGCAUGGUGAAAUAUUGGAUUAGUUGGGUUUGGGGAAGGGGGAGCAUUAUUCCUGUUAACCAUCUAUCUAAGGAGUAACCAUGCCACUUGAUUACAAGAGAACAUGAUCUGGGAAAUUGUAUGUAGACUGGGAAGAAGUAAAUUUCAGGAUCUGGAUAUUCGAUCAAAAUGUUUUUGUCCUUGGCUUUAAAUUUUUUAUUUUGAUAGAAAUCGGCUUCGAGUUCUUUAUUUUUUUUAUAGAGAUCGAUGGAUGUACCAACCGUUUAUUGAAAUCAUGCCCAAGGUCUUCAUUUUGUGAAAGAUUAAGCAAACACGAGUGAGAUUAAGAAAAUAUAACUAGCGCGGGUUUCGCUAUAUUUUGACUACGGUUCAUCAUAGGAUGAUCGGCUUAAUCCGCAGAGUUGGUGUUGUUACUUUAGUUGCUUGGGUCCAUAUUUCGUAUGCCAGGGAGCUCAAAAACUAGAGGCAGUGUAGGUUGAAACAGGGCAUGGCAUCCUGGCCUUUAUUCAUCGUUUAUCACGAAAAUAAUUCCUCUAACUGACAAAUGAGGUUUAUCACAAAUAGCCACAAUAUAUAUUCAUCGUAUUACAAACCCAGUUACUAACUCUGACAAAUGAGGUAACAACAAAAAUAGCCCAAGGCAUAAUUAAAGUAUCCUAAUAUAUAAUUGUAGAGGUUCUACCUAA